This 50-nucleotide non-coding RNA is filed under the name Vibrio brasiliensis LMG 20546. Its description in RNAcentral is "malK-II RNA". It matches the Rfam family "malK-II RNA". Lineage: Bacteria; Pseudomonadati; Pseudomonadota; Gammaproteobacteria; Vibrionales; Vibrionaceae. The record is from RNAcentral.
AUUCCUACUAUUAUUGCCGUGUCCAUAAUUCAUAUAAUGAUAGGCAGUAA